RNAcentral lists this transfer RNA (60 nucleotides) under Bacillus anthracis (anthrax bacterium). RNAcentral's name for it is "tRNA-Thr". It matches the Rfam family "tRNA", at positions 1 to 58 of the family's 71-position model. From Rfam's summary of the family: Transfer RNA (tRNA) molecules are approximately 80 nucleotides in length. Lineage: Bacteria; Bacillati; Bacillota; Bacilli; Caryophanales; Bacillaceae. The record is from RNAcentral.
GCCGGCUUAGCUCAAUUGGUAGAGCAACUGACUUGUAAUCAGUAGGUUGGGGGUUCAAGU